ACGCUCGACACCUACGGGAGACAGCAGUGGGGAAUAUUGCACAAUGGGGGAAACCCUGAUGCAGCAACGCCGCGUGAAGGAAGACGGUUUUCGGAUUGUAAACUUCUGUUCUUAGUGAAGAUAGUGACGGUAGCUAAGGAGCAAGCCACGGCUAACUACGUGCCAGCAGCCGCGGUAAUCUGAGGCGGGCUGGACAAGGC
RNAcentral lists this ribosomal RNA (200 nucleotides) under uncultured bacterium. RNAcentral's name for it is "partial 16S ribosomal RNA". It matches the Rfam family "Bacterial small subunit ribosomal RNA", at positions 328 to 538 of the family's 1533-position model. The record is from RNAcentral.